CCUACGGGCGGCAGCAGUGGGGAAUAUUGCACAAUGGGGGAAACCCUGAUGCAGCAACGCCGCGUGAGUGAAGAAGUAUUUCGGUAUGUAAAGCUCUAUCAGCAGGGAAGAAGAUGACGGUACCUGAGUAAGAAGCCCCGGCUAACUACGUGCCAGCAGCCGCGGUACUACGUCGGGGGCAAGCGUUAUCCGGAUUUACUGAGUGUAAAGGGAGCGCAGACGGUGAGACAAGUCUGAAGGCAAAGCCCGGGGAUGAACCACGUGAGUGCUUUGGAAACUGCCUGACUGGAGUGCUGGAGAGGCAAGCGGAAUGCCUAGUGUAGCGGUGAAAUGCGUAGAUAUUAGGAAGAACACCAGUGGCGAAGGCGGCUUGCUGGACAGUAACUGACGUUGAGGCUCGAAAGCGUGGGGAGCAAACAGGAUUAGAUACCCCGGUAGUC
This 440-nucleotide ribosomal RNA is filed under the name uncultured bacterium. RNAcentral describes it as "partial 16S ribosomal RNA". It matches the Rfam family "Bacterial small subunit ribosomal RNA", at positions 338 to 795 of the family's 1533-position model. The record is from RNAcentral.